AGGUACGACAUUGCUCACAUUGCUUCCAGUGUUUACUUUAGCCAGCUUAAUGCUGGCUAUUUUUU
Molecule: non-coding RNA, 65 nt
Filed under: Providencia alcalifaciens
Lineage: Bacteria; Pseudomonadati; Pseudomonadota; Gammaproteobacteria; Enterobacterales; Morganellaceae
Source: RNAcentral